GCCAGUGUGGCAUAGUGGUUUGAGUGCUGGACUAUGACUCUGGAGACCAGCGUUCAAUUCCUGUUUGGCC
RNAcentral lists this transfer RNA (70 nucleotides) under Phrynosoma platyrhinos (Desert horned lizard). RNAcentral describes it as "tRNA-OTHER". The record is from RNAcentral. Lineage: Eukaryota; Metazoa; Chordata; Lepidosauria; Squamata; Phrynosomatidae.